This 373-nucleotide ribosomal RNA is filed under the name uncultured eukaryote. RNAcentral's name for it is "partial 18S ribosomal RNA". It matches the Rfam family "Eukaryotic small subunit ribosomal RNA", at positions 592 to 976 of the family's 1831-position model. The record is from RNAcentral.
CAAUAGCGUAUAUUAAAGUUGUUGCAGUUAAAAAGCUCGUAGUUGAAUUUUUGCUUGCCGCCGAUGUCGGAACUUCCGUACGUUCGGCGGCGUGCAUCCUUGGGUGGAACCUGUGUGGCAUUAGGUUGUCGUGCAGGGGAUGCUCAUCGUUUACUGUGAAAAAAUUAGAGUGUUCAAAGCAGGCUUACGCCGUUGAAUAUAUUAGCAUGGAAUAAUAAGAUAGGACCUUGGUACUAUUUUGUUGGUUUGCGCACCGAGGUAAUGGUUAACAGGGACAGUUGGGGGUAUUCGUAUUCCAUUGUCAGAGGUGAAAUUCUUGGAUUUCUGGAAGACGAACUACUGCGAAAGCAUUUACCAAGGAUGUUUUCAUUAA